UACAGAGGUGCCAAGCGUUAGGCGGAAUCACUGGGCUUAAAGGGCGCGUAGGCGGGCUCGCAAGUCCGGGGUGAAAGCCCCCAGCUCAACUGGGGAAGUGCCUUGGAUACUGCGGGCCUCGAGGGAGGUAGGGGCGUGCGGAACUUCCGGUGGAGCGGUGAAAUGCGUAGAUAUCGGAAGGAACACCGGUGGCGAAAGCGGCGCGCUGGACCUCUUCUGACGCUGAGGCGCGAAAGCCAGGGGAGCAAACGGG
RNAcentral lists this ribosomal RNA (253 nucleotides) under uncultured bacterium. RNAcentral's name for it is "partial 16S ribosomal RNA". It matches the Rfam family "Bacterial small subunit ribosomal RNA", at positions 524 to 776 of the family's 1533-position model. The record is from RNAcentral.